AUGAGUAACGUUAUUUUUCAGACAAACUGCACCAAUUUAAACCUCCAUUUAAUCCAAAAUAAACAUCAUUCCCAUGAGUCAAAAAUAGCCACAAUAUCACUACUAAAAAUAUUCCUUCAUACAACCUGUGAUUAUUUUGUAUCAAAUCAAUUCAAAAAACAUUGGCAAUCUAUAUACAAAACUAUUCAAACUCAUUCACACACGACAACCAAAUAUACUUGUGUAUUGUGCUUGUGUUUUUGCAGAUUGAAAAAGAAGAAGAAAGAUUGGAAACAGAGUCAAAAUCAAUCGCAUAUGUCUCUUCUCCUAUCGAAGCCACUAUAG
Molecule: non-coding RNA, 324 nt
Organism: Vicia faba (fava bean)
Lineage: Eukaryota; Viridiplantae; Streptophyta; Magnoliopsida; Fabales; Fabaceae
Source: the annotation of a GenBank genome assembly